Molecule: microRNA, 21 nt
Filed under: Arabidopsis thaliana (thale cress)
Lineage: Eukaryota; Viridiplantae; Streptophyta; Magnoliopsida; Brassicales; Brassicaceae
Description: ath-miR5638a
Source: miRBase by way of RNAcentral
AUACCAAAACUCUCUCACUUU